GUUGUCCGUCCAAAAAAAAAUCCAAAUCUAAUUGCAAAUAUAAAAAGAUUAAUUUCUAUUUGGUGUUUUUCUUCUUCUCCUAUCCUCCAAAAAGCCCCAUUUAUAAUUCUUCCGUCUUUCUAUUCACCAAAAAAUUUAAUCUUUAUAAUUUAUUUUAGCACAGGGCCCCUAAUUUUAUGAGACGGCCCUGUUAGAACUUAAAUGUACCAUAAGAGAAUUAACAAUGGUGGGCUAGCUCGUGUUUUCUCUGUCGUUUUUCAUCUUCUUUUUUUUCUUUUAUGUGCCUCAUUUUCUUUUCUUUUUUUCUCCUCUUCAAAUAUUGUUGGACUCUAAAUACAAAUUAUUUUUCAUAAACUUUUUGUACCUUGAUUUUUUUUUCUUAUACAAUUUUUUUUAAAAUCGAAUUUAUCACCUAAGAUAUUGAGUCCAUUCAUAAUAUUGUUUUAAAAAUGUCGUGGUUAGAGAUCUAAAUCUAAAUCCAAUUGUUCUAACCACGAUAUUUUUGAACAAAAGAUAUUGAGUACAUUCAUGGUACAUCUGGGUGUACCAUGCUCAUGGUACAUUUAAGGGCAAUUUUGUAAUAAAUUCUUCAAAUAAGUAGAAUCUUACUCAUUCUAAUUACUUAUUUAUCUCCCUUCUUUACUUUUCUUCUACAUUGUCUAUCUUACGUUCAUUUUCUCUUUCCUCCAUUGUUUUUCUUACCUCAAAAUUUCUAUCUUCUUCACUAAUUCUCACCUCCAAAUUUUUUUCUCUUCAAUCGUUUCUCACCUUCAAAAUUUCCUCCUACAUUAAUCAUCUCUCUCCUUCAAAUAUACAACCUUAAUUGAAUCAAUGAAUGACAAAAUAAAUAUUUGGACUCCUAAUUUCAUUAAGUGAAAGUAUUGGGUCAGACCAUCUGACCCCAAUACUUUCCGUCGGACGGACUGAGCAAGCGCAAGGAAGAAGACGAAGAAGAUGCGAAGUGUUUCCUUCUAUAAGGGCAACUGAUUGUUGUUGGCCUCUAACUCCUCAAACGCAGGCGCCGGCGGCAGUGUAAAGCCAGAUUUCCCACUGUGCUCACCCUCCAUUGCCAGAUUUUCAAGAAAGAGUGAAGUGAGUCAAGACAGCAUUGACAUUACAGGUUCACAGAUGCUCUCAUUGGGAAUCUGGAAUGGAGAGACUCUUUAUUACUAGUAUCAUUUAAGUUGUUUUCGUAGGAACUUAUGUUUUCAGACAAUAGUUUUAAGUUGGUGUGUUUUUAGUUCUGACAUUGUUAUUGGUUUCAUAAGUUUUAAUAAAGUCGUUUUAUAAA
Beta vulgaris subsp. vulgaris (sugar beet) is the source of this 1291-nucleotide long non-coding RNA. RefSeq lists it as uncharacterized. Lineage: Eukaryota; Viridiplantae; Streptophyta; Magnoliopsida; Caryophyllales; Amaranthaceae. The transcript has 2 exons. The record is from RefSeq and is a predicted model, not a curated record.